Molecule: long non-coding RNA, 581 nt
Organism: Myotis brandtii (Brandt's bat)
Lineage: Eukaryota; Metazoa; Chordata; Mammalia; Chiroptera; Vespertilionidae
Exons: 2
Source: RefSeq, a predicted model, not a curated record
GGUGGUUGCCAUGUCUGAGUCCCAAGCCUUGUUGUGUAUACACAGCUCUUCGGAUCGUGCAGAGUAGUCCUGUCAUCCGGACAGGCAAAAUGUUUUUUGUUCAUUCUUGAAUUAACCGAGCAGACACGGUGAAGUGGAUCUUAUAGAUCUGGAAAUCGAAGAAGCAGGUUUUUUUUUUCCCCCCAAAGAAGUGAAAUUCUUAGGGAGAUUAACAAAUGGGAACUCCUAGCGAGUAGUUCACAAGAAGAACUUGCAGUUAACAAGAGAACGUGCGGCUGGUGUGAACGGGACAGGUUUCCGAUCGGCAUCUGGUGGAACUUGUGGAUUUUGGGGUGGGAGGUUUUGGAUUCCUUUGAGAUUCUGGCAUACACACUGGACAUCUGUUUAGAAAACAUAGUUAAACGAAAUUUUGUGUAUAAUUUGAGGUUGUCAACCUUCCCCAACCUAGUCAAGCUCAUCCCAUGGACUACUACAGUAAGAAAGUUUUAAGGAAGAGCAGACGAAUCUGUGAAAUGCUGAAUGAACAUGUCUUCCUUAAAGUUUUGUAUAUUUUUAAUAAAUACUUCUUCAUGGUUACUGUU